Long non-coding RNA from Panicum virgatum (switchgrass), 1258 nucleotides. RefSeq lists it as uncharacterized. The transcript is spliced from 2 exons. The record is from RefSeq and is a predicted model, not a curated record. Lineage: Eukaryota; Viridiplantae; Streptophyta; Magnoliopsida; Poales; Poaceae.
ACUACUAGAAUCCUAACUUUGACCGAGAGUUACCACAAAUUACCAACAACCUGAUGGUAAACCUAACAAUGGCCAACUGUUUUUAUAUUGCCAACAGUGUAACUAAUCACCUUCGGGUAUUAUACAAAUGGCCGACAGUUAUUUUAGUGCCUGAUAGUUUUGUAGUCACUGUCGGUGAACCAUUAAAAUUCCCAGCCGUUCACUCAUCACAGUCGGCAACAUAUACACAGAUGGCCGAUGGGUCUAAGAAUCACCGUCCGGGCAACAUGUACAGAUACGAAUUGGAUAGAAAGUAUAUUUGCUAACCGUCGUUUCUUACUAAUUCAUCUGAUUUUUUUAUUUUUGGAGUCUCCCACGUUGUGAUUAAAGCACCUGUGACCGUAAGAUCAGGUAACCAACUAUAUCACAACCAUUCGUGAUUGGAUGAACUAAGUAUAUUAACCCUAGAUGUCAAAGCUUUUCUCCAUUCAUCCCCACCCAUCCAGUUUAUCUGGAGCCCACCUAGAUCCACGAACGCAGGGACCUGUGGCCGCACCGCCGCUUCAAGCCGUCGCGGUUGUUCUGUCGCCGGCUCUCCGCCCUUGCCGCGGCAAGGCCCAUGCCGAGCAGAAGUCGCAAGGGAGAAGGGACCGUCAAAAGGUUAGUAGAUCGUGACUACCAUCUAUCACCAAUAAUAAUUGACAACCGUCCCCGUCGUGAACUCGUGAUCCAUACAUCUAGGUACGUACACGAAUAGAACCUAAUCUUUGUCCAGUACCAUUCUAAACUAAUGCAUUCGUUAUGCAUAUCCUGAAUCAUUAUUCCGAACUAAUCCAUCCUUAUUAUGUUGUUCUUUUCCAGGAUUCACAAUCUUCCAUGAGAGAUCACUACGCUUAGAUUUGUUCUCUCAAGCUUUCUGACAAAGCGUGAAAAUUGGAAUGAAGAAGACAAAAGAUAGAUUCACUUUUCUUUUAAAUAUUGUGUGAAAUUCUUAGGUAGCCUUGACUCCCGAGGGAUAAUGUACGAUCGUUUAAUCUAUGUAUUUUUUUCAAUGUAAACAGCCUGUGGUGAUUUCGUCAAUCUCAAAGAUUUGCCAGCUCAGUCUUCCGAUCCAAAAUGUUCAUAGGGUUAGGGGUUGUAUAUGUGUAUUCAUAGGAGUGAUUGUGCGUGUAUGAUGAGUGUCUGAGUUGUACUAUGUAAUCUUAAGAAAAAAACAGCCUUUCAGUGAAAUAUAAAUGUAUAAUCAUAUUAAUAUGAGCAGCUAAGAAUGUUCUUUUUA